This 172-nucleotide transfer-messenger RNA is filed under the name Gammaproteobacteria bacterium. RNAcentral describes it as "partial transfer-messenger RNA". It matches the Rfam family "transfer-messenger RNA", at positions 1 to 174 of the family's 374-position model. From Rfam's summary of the family: Bacterial tmRNA, also known as 10Sa RNA or SsrA, is named for its dual tRNA and mRNA-like properties. Its role is to liberate the mRNA from a stalled ribosome. To accomplish this part of the tmRNA is used as a reading frame that ends in a translation stop signal. Lineage: Bacteria; Pseudomonadati; Pseudomonadota; Gammaproteobacteria. RNAcentral also lists the same sequence under 1 other name. The record is from RNAcentral.
GGGGGCGACUUGGUUUCGACGCGGGUAUCAAAGUUUGCGGUGCAUGCCGAGAGGGUAGUGACUCUCGUAAAACAAUCGCUGUAACUUUUAUAGUUGCCAACGACGAAAACUACGCACUAGCGGCCUAAAAAACCCGCUUACGUCCAUGAUUCGUUUCUUGCUAGGAGAAAUG